Myotis myotis is the source of this 104-nucleotide small nuclear RNA. The record is from RefSeq and is a predicted model, not a curated record. NCBI's taxonomy places the organism in Eukaryota, Metazoa, Chordata, Mammalia, Chiroptera, Vespertilionidae.
GUGCUCGCUUCGGUAGCACAUAUACUAAAAUUGGACCGAUACAGAGAAGAUUAGCAUGGCCCCUGCGCAAGAAAAUCGAUUUUAAAUUGGAUUGCCUGGUAAAA